RNAcentral lists this unclassified non-coding RNA (188 nucleotides) under plant metagenome. Its description in RNAcentral is "partial contains small subunit ribosomal RNA, internal transcribed spacer 1, and 5.8S ribosomal RNA". The record is from RNAcentral.
UCUCCGUUGGUGAACCAGCGGAGGGAUCAUUACUGGAAUCGCAAGAUCCCACAACCCCUGUGAACCUACCGAAACGUUGCCUCGGCGGGCUCAGCGCCCGGCGGCCCCCUACUCUUGUCUCUGCAGCGUGGCAUCUCAGAGUCCCAGAAAACAAGUAAAAACUUUCAACAACGGAUCUCUUGGCUCUA